RNAcentral lists this transfer RNA (84 nucleotides) under Phycisphaerae bacterium. Its description in RNAcentral is "tRNA-Leu". It matches the Rfam family "tRNA". From Rfam's summary of the family: Transfer RNA (tRNA) molecules are approximately 80 nucleotides in length. The record is from RNAcentral. Lineage: Bacteria; Pseudomonadati; Planctomycetota; Phycisphaerae.
GCCGAAGUGGCGGAAUUGGCAGACGCGCGGGAUUCAAAAUCCCGUGGCCGCAAGGUCGUGAGGGUUCGAGUCCCUCCUUCGGCA